AGUCAGAGGGAGGUUGUCGAUUGCCGCUAGUCACCGACCAUGUCGAUGUAGAGACAGGAUAUUCAUGGACGAGCGGAUAAGAUAAAUUUCCAAUAAUACUGAUAUUGAGUGUAAGGGCGUGUCUGAGCGAACGCAUUACCAGUGUUUGUCUCGAAUGAUCGUUGUUUGAUUUUUGAGUUGCUUGAUAGCCAACGUCGAGCACCGUUUCAAAAACAAGCUUCUGUAGAAUUCGCCUAAAUAUUGUACUGCACAAUACACCUCAUCGCAGCCGUUCUGAUGGUUUAAGUUUUGUCUGCGAGUCGGCUUAGUUACUGGGA
This 317-nucleotide small RNA is filed under the name Histoplasma capsulatum var. duboisii H88. RNAcentral describes it as "Histoplasma capsulatum H88 hypothetical RNA". Lineage: Eukaryota; Fungi; Ascomycota; Eurotiomycetes; Onygenales; Ajellomycetaceae. The record is from RNAcentral.